UGAAAACCGGUCUCAGUUCGGAUCGCAGUCUGCAACUCGACUGCGUGAAGGUGGAGUCGCUAGUAAUCGCGGAUCAGCAACGCCGCGGUGAAUGCGUUCCCGGGCCUUGUACACACCGCCCGUCAAGUCAUGAAAGUGGGCAGCACCCGAAGACGGUGGCCUAACCCUUGUGGGGGGAGCCGUCUAAGGUGAGGCUCGUGAUUGGGACUAAGUCGUAACAAGGUAAC
Molecule: ribosomal RNA, 227 nt
Filed under: uncultured bacterium
Lineage: Bacteria
Description: partial 16S ribosomal RNA
Rfam family: Bacterial small subunit ribosomal RNA
Source: RNAcentral